RNAcentral lists this long non-coding RNA (26430 nucleotides) under Gossypium barbadense (sea-island cotton). RNAcentral describes it as "long non-coding RNA (GBAR_LNC013895)". Lineage: Eukaryota; Viridiplantae; Streptophyta; Magnoliopsida; Malvales; Malvaceae. The record is from RNAcentral.
CGACAUCCUUUCAUAUAUGACUGGGAUUGAUUUAUCUUGCAACAACUUAACUGGUCAUAUCCCACCAGAAUUAGGGAACUUGAGUGAAAUCCAUUCUUUAAACCUUUCACACAAUAAGUUGACCGGAGUUAUACCCUCGUCAUUCUCAAAACUUCAUCAAAUUGAGAGUUUGGACCUUUCUUACAACAACUUGAGUGGUGAAAUCCCCAAUCAAUUGGUAGAGUUGAACUCUUUGGAGGUUUUCAGCGUGGCAUUUAACAACUUUUCAGGUAGUAUUCCCGAACCAAAAGCUCAAUUUGGGACCUUUAUUGAAAAUAGUUAUGAGGGAAAUCCGUUUCUUUGUGGAGUUAUAUUGCAUAAAAGUUGUUCCAAAACCGAUUCACCAUCAACGAUAUCAACUGUAUCAGAAGAUAAAUGAGAAGAUGGUUUGAUAGAUACUUAUGAUUUUUGUGUGAGCUUUUUGGUUUCUUAUGUAGUUGUGUUGUUGACAAUUUUUGUUGUCCUCUACAUAAAUCCAUAUUGGCGAAGAGCUUGGUUUUCUCUAGUUGGGAAAUGCAUUACCACCUGUCACUACUCAAAUGUGGGCAAUUCUUACUUAUCACAUUUUCAAGCGAUGUGUUUAGCUACUCAAAUUGCGAUUUGAUUUCCACACCUAAAUGUUUAAUUAUGCUAAGUUGAGCGAUAAUGAAUAUUUUGUUGAUUUUUGCAUUUUGAAUAAAAGCUCUUUUACCUUAUGGUUUUAUCAUUUUCAACCAACUAUUUCUUUUUUCUUCUAUGAAAUUUAAUGUAAAAUCAUAAUCCAUUAUUAUGUAUAUGUAAUAUCUCUUUAAAUUAAAUUAAAUUAAAUUAACUGCCAAGCGUUCACUAGUGCAUACUAAAAAGGAAAUCUAAUGUAAAAUUAAAUAACAUACUAGAAAAUUGAAUCUAAAACUGGAAUAUUUUAAAACCUCACAAAUAAUGCAAUUCUUUAUUCCUCUUUUCCUCUCAAGUUAUUUUGUAUCAUGUUAUAUUUUACAUAAUUAUUCGUAUCAUUGAAUUUUAAAAAAAAUUUAAUAUUUUGAUAUCAUGUUCAUAUUAUGCUUUAAUUCACAAUAUAUUUUGUAUAAUAUGUUAUAACAAUUCAAUUUAAAAAACAAGCAAUUAUCUUAUUUUUGCAUACCGUAAUAUACAUUUACAUGUUAAUAAUUCUUUGUACAUAAAUUUUGACAUGUUCGUAUAUUCGAGUCAUUAUAAUUUUAUUAUUUGUAAUAUGACAUGUUUUACUUACCCUUAAUAUUGUGUCAUGAUAAUUAUAACUCGAUUGGCAGUGUACCAAAUAUUUUUCUAAUAAAAAAUAGUAUUUUAUUCUAUUUACCAAAUCUUUAUCAACUUUAUAUUCUCACCAACAAAACAUACAUUCAAAGUUCAAAUAAGUUCCACACCCAUUUAUGCUCAUCAUCAGAAAGCUGAAAUAUUCCACUCUAAUUAACAUUAUGAUUCUGUAAACAACAAAAAAGUGUGAUCUUUUUUUAAAGCUCUUUUUUUUCUUUAAUGAAAUGGGAUUGGUAAAAAAUCCGCACAUGUGUCGUGUGUGAAGAAGGUCAGGUUGUCUAUUCAUUCUCUAAUAAGUAGCUAAUUAUAGUUGAUCCUACAAAAUCAAAAUUAAUUCAGGUAUCUAUAUAUUCUGAAGACUGGACAGACCUUAGAAGCUCCUUCAAAUUUGCAAGAACAUGUCGUGGUCCUAAACUCUUUACACCGAUGAAAUUCAAAAGUUGCUCUAUAUCCUGCAAUCACAGUAAAGAUUAUGCAAGCUUUUCAGAACGAAUAACAUAACAAGCAAAAGGCAAUCAAAAUACUGUGAUCUCGAUAAUGUUCUUUGCCGAAAAGGAACAUAAACAUAACCUGAAAACAUCAGUGAAGGCUCAUCAGAUUUGCUUAGCAACCUUACAUACACAUGUAAAAAGCUUUGCUUUUGGAUGUAAGGUGUGACUAUCAUCACAGUCUUUCCUAAUUAGCUGAUAACCCUAUAUCUAACAUUAAUCAUGGCUAAGCAAAUUAACAUACAUAAUGUAAAGGAAUUUGACUAUAAGAUCCAACAUAAAACUUAAUAAAAGAUAAUCAACAUAGAAAGUUAAAAGGCAAUGCAAACUUAUUACAAUGAUGCAAGUGGAUCAAAAGAAAGCACUCUAUAAGGAAUUUGCAUUUAAGGCAUUGUAAACAGAAAAAAAAAAUAAAACUUUUUGGAAAGUAUUUUCAAAGAGGAGACAAACAGGGUAGAAAAAAUGUUUGGUCCUUCCUUUUUCUAUUUCUACUGUGGUGAAAAAGCCUUUUUGGGUUAAAAGUGUUUUUACACUGCAGAAGUGUUUUUCCACUGCAGAAGUGACGAAGAACACAUAGCUUUUGUAGUCAAAAACCUACUGCUUUUGGCUUUUGCAUUUCGAAGUGAAAAUUAUAAAAAUACUCUUAGAUUAAUUUAUAUUUUAUAUAUUAUUAUAUUAAUUGUUUAAAUCUUAUUUAUUAUUAUAUUUAAUUUUUUUCAAAAUAUUUUAUAUAUCAUCAAUUUUAUAAAUAAUUUAAAUUAAUUACUUAAAAGGUAUUUAAAAGUUAUAUUUCAUGUAUCAUUAUAUUAAAUUAUUUAAAUAUCAUAUAACUUGACUAAUUUUUUUCUUUCUACCAUCAUGUCUAAAAAAGACAUUUUAACUUUCAACUGCAAUUUUUGGCAGCAAUGAACAACACUAAAAACUAACAAACACACUUUUCCGCACCACAUUUCAACAACACUUUUUUCUAAACGCACUUUUGAACUAGUCCUUAGUCUAUCAUGCAUCAACUCUUCAUUUUUCUUUAACUACCCAUGUCCGACUUCGAACAUGGAUAUGGAGAUAUGACCAAGUCACAGUGACAUAGUUUUUAGUUAUGGGGAAUGGGAUUCGAGUGCUGGACCUCCUUUUAGAUGCAUGGUGGGACUUCAUCACAUUUUUCAAAUUUGUUGAUAAUCCUUCACCUAAUCUGCCGGUGAAGUUUAUAGAUAGUCUUAAGUGUCUAUCACAAGAACCUAGAUAUUGUAAAUCCAAUAUCUUCCAAACAAUUCAACCAUGAUAUUAAUGAUGAUGGAAGCAAGAUUAUCCACUAUCAAUGACAUAAAAUGAGCUGUAAAUGCUGACGAACAAACAUGCACUGUUUUUCCAACCUGUGGAUUGAAGAGCAUUGACAAGCUAACUUUGCAGACCAUUUGAAUCCAAUACUAUACAUAAAAAUGCCAAAGGAGAAUAAUUCAUCUUGGAAAAAGAAUUACUAAUAUGCAAAAGCUUACCUUGUUUAACAAGAAAACAGCAUAUGCUGCUCUUGUCGUGUCUUGACCUUCUAAAAACAGCGGAAAUUCUGCCAGCUUUACAUUUGCUGAAAGUGUUGUAUCCAAUGACAAAUCAGAAGAUGCAGGGUCUAUUGAAGACGCAUGGUCAUUAAUAUAUGAGCGAGAACCACCCAAGCGCAGAGGAUAACGCAAGGGAACUUGUAAAUAGGAUGCAAUUAGUGAAACAGCCUGCAAAUGAUGAAAUAACAGGAAACAAGAAACAAUAAUAGGUAUGAUUAAAAUUAUAGCCUCAGCAUGAGAAACAAACAAUCAAGAUGCAACCCACUAUACCAUAUUACCAUCCUAGCAAUUAAAAAUUACUACAGCAUCUUCAAGCAACAAGGGAUUGUAGGUGGUAGGUCAAAAAACUUGAUAUCCACAGCUUGAUAUUAUCAGAAAAAACAAAUUCAGUAAUAAAUGAUAACUUCACAGAAGAAAUAGAACGCACAUGUGCAACAUAUCCCAAGGCAGUUGCAGAUCUCUGAACCUCCUUUUUGUCAGUGAAAAAACUCAUCUUUGUAAAAGGAAGCAAGGUGAGAUUCAGACCUAAAAUUGUCAACGAUCCUUGAUUGACGGGCUUUGAUGCAGAAGGAUUCCCUAUUGAAGACAGGAACAAAGGAACUUCAUAUCAGUACAUCACCAGACACCACCUCUUUGUGAAAGUCAAAAGAAAAUUCAAAAAAAUAUCAUCAUGAAAGUAAGAGAUAUGUAAAAAGCUCAUAAUAUUCAAGAGCAAAAAAAAAUUGUUUUGAUAUGAGGAGAAUUGAAUAGUAGAUUGCUAAAAGAGGAAUAACUGAAUACAACCAUUAUAACCAAAAGAAGAGUCAAGUGAUAGGUAAUGGUACUCCCUAAGCUGUUUAGGAAUCAUAAAAGACUUGUCCAGUCGACAAAAAUAACUCAUUUUAUUCUCCCCUAGUAAAACAUCAUAUUGGACCAACCAUAUUUGAUAUCAAAGGAUAUGCAUAUCCAGGCAUGCCAUUUAUAGAUAUUCCCAGUGUUACAAGAAGGAAUUGUUCAAGAGAAAGAAGCUGCUAUUGUUGGUAAAGUUUUCCUCAAACCAUUUUGAACAUCCAAAAUCUCAAGAACAAAAAAGAAAACGUAGGAGGAAAUAUAACAAGCAUCACAACGGGUUCUCGAUGAUAUAAGUGAGAGGAUAAAUGUUAAUUAAGAUUAUAAAAAUAAACCACAAACUAAACAGGAAAGACAUGGAUUUCAAAACGAGGAGACUGGCUGCUAAUUAAAACCAUAUGCGGCGUUGUCUAGGGCGCAAGGCACAUUCUAGGUGCUAACCUUUAUAUUGCCUCAAGCACAAGGCACAAAAGGAAGCGCUAGCCUGAGUGCAGUAAAGCGCAAUACGUAUAUGUGAGAGUUUUUGCAAGUCUGUGUGUCUAUAACAUAAAAGUUUUAAGAUAUAUGGUAAACUCUAAAGUGUGGUCUGGUUUAUCCACAAAACUUGCAAAAUUUUUAUAGGUGAAUACUUAAAUAUUGAGAAUUAUAGAGUUUGAUAUUAUCCCUUUCUUAUUAGUAAAGGUGUAUCAAAUGAAAACAGUAGAAAAUAAAAUAAAAUAUUGAGAAAUUCAACAAGGCAGGCUUUUUCUAAUGCCCAUUGCCUUACAAAAAAAGUGUGCCUAGGUGCACCAGGCAUACGCUUGAUCAAAUGGACCUCACCUGGAAGGGUCCAAGGCGUUUUGUUGUAUAAAACUAAGGCGUAGGCACGCCUAGGCGCAUGCCUUGACAACACUGACCAUAUGUUGGCUUUAUUGCAAAGCAUUAGCAAUCCAAAACUACUAGCACAUUACCUAAUCUACUACUGCUAGAAUAGGACUCAAGUUCUUGCUCCUGUGCAGGUCCAACCAAGAUCUUUACAGGAUACAAUAAUGAAACUUGUGAUAUCAUAUAUUGUUGCCUUGCUCGAAGCUUCCUUUGCACAUUUUUAAGUUUAACACAACCCCUUUCUUCAGUGAGUAAUCUAUUUGCUUCCUGUGAUAAAAACAACAUAUAAUCAAUCAUGCCACGCAUGCAAGACUACCAACCAACUAUCUAAUAAAAGAGACAAAGAAGUAGGAGAGCAAGAAGGGGAUAACCCUUGACUAUGCAAAGGAAUUCAUAGAAUGAGAAUCAUCUCAUCUAAGCCCCUCAACCACCUUCACAGGGGGUGGAGGUGCAAAGAGAGAGGUCUUAUUGAUCCGAGAGGAGAAUAUAUAACAUCUAAAGCUGAAUAAGAAGAAACCUUCAAAUAUAUCAUAAAUUCAGAAUUCAUGAUAAUAUAAAAAUGAAAUUCCAAAGCUAAUUUAAGCUAGAAUAAAAAUGCUUCACCUGUAAUCGCUUCCUUGCUACAGAAAGAGAGGUACCAGCAACCAACAAUGAUCUUACUUCAGUACUCAGCAUUUCCUCCUGUUUUUUAGCAUCCUCUGUUGCAACUUUGCAACGAGUUGACAUGUUUGCCAUAACUACUUUCCUUGCCUCUAGUCUCUCACGCAUUUCCUCAAGCUCGUUCAGUUUAUUCAAAGACUCAUUUUUUACCUGCACAGCAUGUUCCCACCCAUUAAUCAGUGGGCCAAUUAAUUAGGUCACAGAAGACAAAACUAAAUUAUCACUCACCAGGUCCCCUUGAAGUGUCAUAUGGCUUUAACAAUUCAACGUGCAAUAUCUAGUAAAAGUGAAAUAAACAUAGAAGAAUGCAAAUGCAAUUCUUAAACGCCUUUAAAUGGACAACAUGAAACAGUUUAAGAGCCCUAUAAAACAGAAAAGUGGAAAAAAAAUCUGAAAAGGAAAAAAAAUGAAUUGAAACAAUAAAUCCAUCUGGUACAAACAGCAACAAAUCUCGAAAUAAGCCUUGGCUUUAGCCCAUUAAAGCCCGGGCAUCCGGCCGAAUAAACAGUGACUGCCAUGUCAACUUUUUGAGACGGUAGAAAAGAGCUCAAAAAUCUCAAUUUCCAAAAUUAAGGACAUAAGAAGGAAAACAAUGUACUUAUUCUUACAGUAGAAGAGCAAAAUGAAACUAAAUGAAGGAUAAGGGAACUGAUGCGAAUUGACAUUGUUAUUUUUGGGACUAAAAAGAAUACGCAGAUUGAAUAUUUAAGAUUUUGUAAGGGAAAAGUUCCAUUCACCAACACAAUUAUCAUCGCCCUUUAUCCCAGUAAAGCUUAAUUGACAAUUUUUCUGUCUCGUGUUCUUGCUAAAGCAUUUGAGCAACCCAACAGAAAUCAUUAUAUGUCAAACUGAAAUGAUUGGCUUUAUCAAUUUCACAACCUAUACUGCCCAACCUAGUAAGUAAUUUAGGUGCAGACACCAGAAAUCUAUUUUCUUUGCACUCUACAACCAAAUAGCCUACCACUUAUCAAUCAAACACAGCUGAAAACUUCAGUGAGGAAACAUUAUGUAAACUGAAAAAACUAUAACUUCAACUUGAUUCAUAGCUCGGUAAGUUCAGGGAACUUGGACUUCUACCACCAUGAUCCAGUUCGAUGUGAAACAGUGAUCCAUAUCACGCAUAUCAGUUCCCGCAACAAGAGGUAAAACAGCAAAUUAGGUAAACAAUGAUCCAACUAUAUUUCAGAAUAGCAACAUUGAGCAUGAAAGCUAAAAUUAUAGCAUAUUAUGGGUCCUUGCUCCCUACAACUACAUAUAAAAUUACUAAACAAUAUUACUACAUUAAGGAUCCAGAAAAACUUGGUUUCAAUUGUUGAUCACUUGAUCCAACUAUUUUAGAAAGUUUAUUCUUCUUUUUCCUUUCCCUUAUUUUCUAAAUCAGGAAAAACAGUAGCAUAUAAACUGGAUUACUACUCCAAUUAAGUUUCUAAAAUUUCAGCAAUAUCCCUUUAACCUUUUCACUCAAGUCACUACCCCCCCCCCCCAAUUAACAAAUAUAUUCCCAGUUUCCCUUUCACUUCAAACCCCCCCCCUUUUUUUUUUCUCUACCCAAAUUCAGCUUACGUUCAAAAACCCAAAAUUGGUUUGCUAAAAAAACAUAAUUUUCAAACCCAAAGGUAACCUAAUUUUAAUCAGAAAAAAAAAAGAAGCAUUACCUGAAUUAGUGAAUGGAGUUUCUCUUGAAGACUUUAUUUUAAAAUUAUCUUAUACUAUUUGCUUUAAAUCGAUUUUUAUUAGUUAUUUGAAACUCGUUUUCAUGUACUAUUUAUUUUUUUAUCACUUAUUUAAAUUGUUUUACAUAUCUAUUUUUUAAACCCUAUUUUAUUAUAUUUUACUUAUUUUAACUUUUUUACAUAUUUCAUUAUAAAUAUUAUUAAUUAUCUAUAUUGAGUUUUUCAUUUAUGUAUUACUUAUUUAGAUAAAUAUAUACUAUUUUGUGUAUUACUUAUUUUGAUUUUCUUCUUAUACAAUAUUACUUUAAAAUUCAUUUAGAUAUUAUUAUUUCACAUAGUAUUUAUUUUUAUCUUCAUUUUUGAUCUAUUUCAAACUCAUAUAUAUUGUUUAUUUUGAAAUUUUAUGCACAUGAUUUAUUGUUUAUAUUGAUGAUUUUAAAUUUCCUUUCUUGUAUUUUUAUUUAUUUAUUUUAAAACUUGUUAUACUUUAUUUGUGUUAAUUUGCUUAGUUUUUCUUUCAAAAUUAACUUAUAAUUCAUUAGCUUUUAAUGUUAGUAUUUGCAUAAUAUGUGAUAUAAGAUUAUUGCUCUCAUGUAUUGCUUAUCUGUAUAUAUUGAUUAUUUGUCAUUCAUUAGUAUAUAUUUUGUUUUACGAAUUAUCACUUCUCGCGUUGUACAUUAUCAUUUCCAUCGCGUUUUAUUUGCUCAAAAAUUAUGUUUAAUAUGGCUUAAGUUUUGAAAUCAUUUUAUCCAAAAGCUUCCAAUAUAGCAUAACACUCGGUGUUUGGGAUUUUUGAAAAGAUCGUACUCUAACUUACGAGGUCUCGAUUUUUUGAUAAUUUCAAAUAUACGAACCUUUUUAAAAAAAAAAACAAGACACAUUUACUUAAAAAUUAUCUCAAGAAUCAAAAAAAGAUCGUGUCCCAACUUACCGGAUAUGAUUUAUUAUCUGAAACCGAUAUGAUCAAGAUUUUUAAAAAUAAAUAAAUUUUGGUGUUUAUUCUCGUUUCGGGAUUUAAGAUAUUGUGUCCUAACUCACGGGAUAUAAUUUUUUUCUCGAUUAACGAGAAAUACACCCUUCUUUAAAUUUUAACAAAAUGGUCAUUUUUUUAAAUUUCUUUUCGAAAUUUUAAUUUUUCGACAUUAAGACAUUAAUUAAUCGAUUAGGUACUAAUUUUGGGCAUGACGGGGUGCUAAUCCUUCCUCGCAUGUAACUGACUCUCGAACCCGUUUUUCUUAAAUUCCAUUGACCAAAAUCAUUGUUUUAAUAAAAUCAAAAUGUUUUAUCAAAACGAUUGAAUUGCAAGGUGAUCCAAUCACACAUAAAAAAAAUGUCGGUAGCGACUCCCUUUUUUUCAUUUUCAAAAUAAAAGUCAACACUAUUUUUGUUUUCAAAAAGUGGUUUCGACAAAAUUGUUUAAAUCUUACUUAUUAUUAUAUUUAAUUGUUUUUCAAAAUAUUUUAUAUAUCAUCAAUUUUACAAAUAAUUUAUAUUAAUUACUUAAAAGGUAUUUAAAAGUUAUAUUUCAUGUAUCAUUAUAUUAAAUUAUUUAAAUAUCAUAUAACUUGACUAAUUUUUUAAUUUCUACUAUCAUGUUUAAAAAGAACAUUUUAACUUUCAACUGCGAUUUUUAGUAGCAAUGAACAACACUAAAAACUAACAAACACACUUUUCAGCACCCCUUUUCAACAACACUUUUUUCUUAAAGUACUUUUGAACUAGUCCUUAGUCUAUCAUGCAUCGACUCUUCAUUUUUCUUUAACUACCCAUGUCCGACUUCAAACAUGGAUAUGGAGAUAUGACCAAGUCAGAGUGACAUAGUUUUUAGUUAUGGGGAAAAGGAUUCGAGUGUUGGACCUCCUUUUAGAUGCAUAGUGGGACUUUCAUCACAUUUUUCAAAUUUGUUGAUAAUCCUUCAUCUAAUCUGCCGGUGAAGUUUAUAGAUGGUCCUAAGUGUCUAUCACAAGAACCUAGAUAUUGUAAAUCCAAUAUCUUCCAAACAAUUCAACCAUGAUAUUAUUAAUAAUGAUGAAAGCAAGAUUAUCCACUAUCAAUGACAUAAAAUGAGCUGUAAAUGCUGACGAACAAACAUGCACUGUUUUUCCAACCUGUGGAUUGAAGAGCAUUGACAAGCUAACUUUGCAGACCAUUUGAAUCCAAUAAUAUACAUAAAAAUGCCAAAGGAGAAUAAUUCAUCUUGGAAAAAGAAUUACUAAUAUGCAAAAGCUUACCUUGUUUAACAAGAACACAGCAUAUACUGCUCUUGUCGUGUCUUGACCUUCUAAAAACAGCGGAAAUUCUGCCGGCUUUACAUUUGCUGAAACUGUUGUAUCCAAUGACAAAUCAGAAGAUGCAGGGUCUAUUGAAGCUGCAUGGUCAUUAAUAUAUGAGCGAGAACCACCCAAGCGCAGAAGAUAGCGCAAGGGAACUUGUAAAUAGGAUGCAAUUAGUGAAACAGCCUGCAAAUGAUGAAAUAGCAGGACAUUAGAAACAAUAAUAGGUAUGAUAAAAUUAUAGCCUAAGCAUGAGAAACAAACAAUCAAGAUGCAGCCCACUAUACCAUAUUACCAUCCUAGCAAUACCUGCAAAACUUUCAUCAAAACGGUAAUAACACUUUUGGACAAUGUGUCCUAUUUUACCACACAACUGGCAUUGGGGCCGAUUGUUUGAAAAACCACCCUCACGGCCUCAUCCUCGAUGGAAACCUCUAUUGCAUUGAAAACCACCUCUAUGUGCCUGUUUGUUCCCUUGAUAGCCACUGUUAUAAUCAUAACACUUGGUCCGAUCACCCUCAUCACAAUCUUGUUUACUAGCUAUGUUAGCUUGUUCGAGAACACUAUUCAAGAACUCAAGUUCUCGAGCUUCACAAUCAAGCAGCAUCUCAAUCAACAGACCAAGCGACACAGCAGUAGCUGAAGCUACUACCCGUACUGAUUCACACUCAACUGGCAACCUUGCAAGAAUGAUGCUAACCAUUUCUUGAUUUGAAAUCAAACAACUCGUUGCAACCAACAUAUCACACAUGGACUUGAUCUUAGACAAAUAUUCUUUAACAAACAGAUGACCCUUUUUCUGUGAAUACAACACAUGAUGCAUACUGGACAAUUUUACCGUCGACUUAGUCGCAAGCCUUUUUUUCAAUAGUUUCCCAAAUAUAAUAACUAGUACGAGCACUAGUAAGAUAGGCUAGAAUUUCAUCACUAUCAGUUGAAAGUAACCAAGAAGCCAAUAGCUUAUCUUGUUGCACAUGUAAAACAGAAUCAGAAUCUUCUACUAAUCUCCCAUAUUUAUCCACUACAAACUGUGCUAGUACACUAAUAGCACCCAAAACAAACUCAUGCAGACCGUAUCAUUCAAGGAUCAACAUAAUUUGGAGCUUCCAUAAAACAAAAUUAUACUCACCAAGCUUUAUUGUAUCGUGCUUAGGAAAUUGUUGAAGACAUCUACAACUGUUGAGGUGGGUUUUCUUUAAACAUACUCAUUCCAACAAAAAAAAAAUCUACGUUAGUAUGAUUAAUUAGAAAGUGAUUAAUUCAUUAUUUAGUUAGAAGUGAUGGCCUUAAGAAAAAAAAUGACAUUAUUUUAUUUGGCAUUGUUAAAAGUGUUAGUUACUGAAAUAAUUAAUGAGAUUAUAAAAGUGAAAGAAUCAAAUUAUGUCAAAAGUAAAGUAGAGGGUUUUAAUCCUAAAUUUGGGUAUAAUAAAGGGACUAACACCAAAUAAUUAUAAAAUUUUCAAAUAUUUUAAAAUUAAUUUUAAAUAUUAAUUAAAUACAAAUUAUAAAAAAAUAAAAUAAAAAUCCCCAGCGCAGUGAGGGACAUAUUCGAUAUCAAUAAUUAUAAAAUCUGUAGUUGUAAUAUUUAAUUGAUAUAAUAUAUAAAAUUUGAGGGUUAAAUUUGUUAUUAUACAAUUUUUUUAACUGCCGUGUCACUUUGCAAUUUUUUAUUUUAAGGAGUCAUCAAAAUAACUAAACUAUGUAAUGUGAGUGCUUAAAUUACAAAAUUUUUACUUUAAUGUGAGUGCUUAAAUUACAAAAUUUUUACUUUAAGUGUUUAAAUUUUUAAAAAAAAUUAUAAUUAAAUAACAAUCUAUAUGUAGUUUGCCCAAAAAUUUUAUAACCCAAACUACACAAUUUUAUGGCCAUCUCCCACUUUUGAUAUCUCUUUGGCCAUUAGUUAAGAUGGGAGGGGAAUGACUUAUUCAAGAUUAGUGUCAACAUUAGAUUUAAAACCUACGGAAGUCAUGUUUCAAUUUUUUUAUAUAAUAAUAUAACAUUUAAAAUUAUAUUAUAUCUAUAAAAGAACUCAUUGGAUUAGGGUUUUUUUUUUUAAUUAACUUUCCAUUUGUUAUUAGAAAACAAAACUAAAAAUGCAUCAAACAGGGCUCUGAUAAAAAAUUAAAAAAAAACCAAAAUGUUUAGGUUUGGUAUCGUUUUACUUUUACUUUAAAAUCAGUCUAAUCUGUAUCAUGCUCACACCAAACAUAUGAAGAAAAAAAAAAGUGAAAUAGUAAGGAUAUUAUUAAUUUCAUUCCAAGACAAAUUUUAGCAUACCCAAUUAGGUCCUUGGGUUAAUCUUAUGUUUUUUGUUUAGGCAUUCAGCAUUCUUGGCGUUUAGUUUAGUUAGAAUUUUAAAUUAUGAUAGAUCUGAAACUUUGGUAUUUUUGUGCAAAACUCAACCUCAAAGCUUUAUUUGUUGUCUAAAUUAUUUUAUUGAAGCCUAGGAAUUGUUGUUAUUGUUUCGGCUAAUUGACCUUAAAGCAUCAAAUGCCUUUUUUUGGAUGGUCAUAUUCCUUCCAAGGGCUGAAUUACUAAAAGCCCAUGAAGUAUCCUUCUUUUUCUUAAGUGAGCCUCUGUUUCAAUGCCGCCAAAAUUUUCUUUAUCCACAUGGAAGCUGACCUGCCAUGAUGAUGUGGUAAAAAAAUGAACAAUUUGUAUUUUUUGAAAAAUAUAACACUUAAGAACUUUCUUUCUUCUUGCCUCCCAAUUCUCACCACCAAUUCCUUAGCCCAAAUCAGUUUUGGCCUCCGACAUUGAUCAUAACAAAAGUAAACUUUCUAUUAGAAAUAAUUUCUUUUAUGUACAAAUUAAAGGGUAAGAUAUUGUUUGGGUACAAAAAAAGCAUAUGAGCUUACUUUAGAAAAGUGACAACGUUGGGCUCUUUUAGUAUUCUAUCCUCCCACCAACUUUGUCCAAUGUUUUUUGCCUUAUCACCAGACAGUAAAAGGGCCUUUGACCUUUUCAGGCUAAGCGCUGCCUGGUGCAUGUAGGGGGAAAAGGCCUUCUAAUUGAAGUUCUCUUUAAUAUCUCUUUAAUUGUUUCUUAAUUGUAACAAAGGGAUAAUAUCGAACUCUCUAUUUCUCAAUAUUUGAGUAUUCAACACCAGGCAUGGGAUCAUAUGGAAAUAUGCAUAUGGUUGACAAAAGAAAGAAAAUUUGGAAAUGUUUAUUUAAGUAGUAACUGCUGGUUUUCUUGGAUGCUUUCUUGUUAAUGACUACUGUUUGGGCAUGUUUAUUUAAGAAUUGCCCCCAAGUAGUUUCUUGAAUCAUCUAAAAUUGGAAAAAAUAGUCUUAUGGUAACUCAUUAAAGUAUUUGAAAGUAUGCACAAGCUAAUAACAUUUUAGAAAUUAAAAUUGAAGAUCGGUUUUUAGGGUAUCAUGUCCAUAUUAAGCAUCAUCUUUCCAGAUUACUGUUCUCUCUCUCUCUCCCUCUCUGUGUGAUAUAUUUCUCAAGUGAAAGGUAACCUUCUUCACUUGAUUUUGACUUAAUUUUGCAGUCACCACGAUUGUAUAAUGUGUACAAGCAAAUGGGAAUUGUAAAAUCUUUUCAGAAUAUUCUGGACAAUGUUUUCAUUCCACUAUUUGAAGUUACAGUUGAUCCGAAUUCUCAUCCUCAACUACACGUGUUCCUAAAAAUGGUGAGUUCUAUGUUCAUCGGAGAACAUACUGUGCUAUAAUAAGAGAUUUCGGAAAAUAUAGUUAAAAAAUGCUUCUUUAUUGGAAUGACCUGCAUUAUAGCAAGCUGAAUAAAUGAUGCCUUAACUUUAUUCAUUGUGUUCUCAUAAUUCUUUAAAACCAUUCGAAAAUUCUAUUGAGCCACAUUAUAUGGUUAAUUUUUGGGUCUGUACUGCAUACUGAACAUGUGUACAUCCUUGCGAUUUUAGAUGGAUGGAGUUGGACAGCAAAGCAAUUGAAAAAAACCCAAUUUAUGGUUUCUAAAUGUUAGAUCAUUUAUGGUUUCUAGUUUCAAUUUAAAAAAAAAAAAUCCAAAUCAGCCAACUAAUGAAAUUUUCAACGAUGUUAGUUAUUUUAACUAAUCCAUAACAUGUUUGCUUCUUCUUCUUUUUUUUAGCCUAGCAGCAAUGUUAGCCUCUGGACUAGUUACCGCCCUCCUUUUUCCCCUCCCUAUUAACCCUUUUUAUUUUUCUUCUCAUUCACUCCAUGAGUCUUCGUUCUUUUCAGUUUACAGAUUUAUUUUGUGAGUAUUUUUGUUGUCUUUACAAGUUGUAAUGGACAGUUGACAAUGGCUAUCAUCAUUGAAACACCACCGACCACCAACACUUUCUUUUAGAAAGUGGGUACCUCUUCGUUGACUACUUAAUUUGUUUAUAUUUUGAGAGUUUCAAAAUAAUAAAUGAUUUCAUGACUCGGUUUAGACUCAUGUUUUUUUUCCAUUGUUCAAUAAGUUUUUACUUUUAAAAGUUUUUUUCUACUCUUAUAGUAAGCUUUUUAGUCUUGCUUUUGCGAGUAAUUUUAGGGUUGGUUUUGUCGCCAUCCCCUCUAGUUUGGUGGAUGCUCAGUUCUUUUGCUGAUUUAUGCCCGCCGCUUUGGACCAUCCGGGGUUGAUUUUCUUACUAUAUUAAGUGCUUGUAAUCACUUCUGAUAUGUUGUGCUUGAGUUGUGAUAGAGCUGAUUUCAACAUGCCAUAAUGUUCUAUUAAUGUUGAAGCUAAAGCUUUUGUUAUAUUGAUGGAGCUUGUCCUUUAGCGAGUACAACAAGUGUUUGUUAUUUCCUCCCCCCCCCCGAAUUGUAUGGUAUUAUUCAUUGAAUAAAUUAAUGAAGUUGUCUUAAAAAAAACUAAUCCAUAACAUUAACAUUAAUAAGAGAACAAAAUAUAUCAAAUUAAAAAAGAAAAACUGAAUCUUUAAUUCAAUUGAGAAAUUAUAGGGAUUAAAACUAUAAAUUGAUCUAUAAUAAUUUCUCAGGCAUUAAUUGUAAGAUUAAUUCCAUAACCUAAAUUAUUGUAGGGGCUAUAUAAGCUCAAGGUUGACGCAAAAGUCAAUAGUCAGCGUCUGAAAGUUAAUGCAAUUAAUUAUGUCAUUGUUGAUAUAUUUAACGCAAAUAUAUUAUCAUAUGUGUAAUGUCAUACCAUCUUAUUAUUUCCAUAUGUUACUAAAAAUCUAGUUAACGGACUAAGGAUUGUCAUUUGUAUCAAGACUGAAAUUUUAAAUUUUGAAAAAUAUAGGUACUUAGAAUAAUCCAAUUAGAGAGUAUGGACUAAAUCAACAAUUAUACGCAUAAUAUAGGACUAGUAAUUGGUUUUAAUUAAAUUGAUUUAACUCUAUUGUUUGGAUCACAACUAAAAUUUUAAAAUUCAAAAUGUAUAGGGAUUAAAAUUGAUCAAAUUGAAGUAAAUAGACUAAAUUUACAACUUUCACAAAGAACAGUGACCAACAGCAGAAUUUAACCAAAUAAGCUCACCAAAGUCAAUAGUCAAUCUUUGAAAAGUAAUGCAAUUAAUUAUGUCAUUGUAGGAACGCUUUCCUGACAUAAAAUUCCACCAACUAAGCCUUUUGCGUAAAUAUUAGCUAUGAAAAUUCAACCAUUGAUAUUAAAUUCAAGACCCCACAAAUGACAGACAUAUAUGUUGGAAAAAUCUUUGUGUGAACAUUUCUUUCGGUCAUACUCAUGUCGUAUAAGUUAGAGGAGCACAAGUCUAGAUUCAUCCAAUUUUUGAGGAAUUAAUUAAUUAUAUAUUAGUUUAAAAUUAUAGUGAAUUAGUGAGACGCCAUAGGUCUUGCUUGCAUAUAAAUAAGAAGCUUAGGCUUCUUCAGAUUAUUUACAUAUAAAAGUUUAAAAAGUAACAUAUAGCUAAGAGAGAAGAGGAAAACAGAAAGAUGAUGAUGAUAAUGAUGGAGUGGAAAUGGUUAUGGUUUAUAAGGAUGGCAGUAAUGUUGUUGGUGUUAGAAGGGUGCAGGUGGUGUACUGCUGAUGCUUGUUUGGAGCAUGAGUCGCCUUCUUGCAUCUCAAACCUUUCUUCAAUUAUGAUAAUCAAUUGAAAAGUUGGAUUGAGGUGAAGGGUUCAGAUUGUUGUAAAUGGAAAAGAGUUGAGUGCAACACCAUCACUAGGAGAGUCAUACAACUCUCCCUUAAUCAUACAUCAUCCAAUAUAUAAAUGAAUUAAUGAAUUUACCUUUCAAAAGAGAAAAAAAGAAUUCAUAAAUUUUGAAAUACAAAAUGAACGUGUUUUGAUAUUUUUAGGGCAAUGGUUUAGUGGUUCAAAAUUUUGAUUUAAUAUGGUGAAUUUAAUUAUAAUUUUUUAUAUAUUAGAUAGUAGAAUAUAUUUUACCAUUUAUAAUUAAGUACAAUUAAGUUUAGGUUAAAAUAUUUUAUUAAAUUUUUGUACUUUUCACAAAUUUUAAAUUUAAUCUGUUUACUUUUAUUCUAGAAUUUAAUCUCUCUGCAUGUAAAGGAGGUUAUUAUGGCAAGGGGAAUUACCAUGGCAGAGGUAGCCGAGGCUGACGAAGAGAUGCUGGAUAUGCUGAAGAAAGAUAGAUGGCUGAGAAACAGAAAAACUUUAGGAACAAUAUUCAGUGUUAGAAGUAUGGGGAUGUGAAGGCAGAUUGUUGGAAAAGGGGAAACAAGCAAAUUUUGCGGAAGAUGAUGAAGAGAUUUAAAUUAUUUAUGAGCUGUCUAGAUGACACUAUAGCUUCAACUAACAUUUGGUUUCAAGGGCGUAUAUCUCAUGAUGAAGAGAUCGUCUCUCUUCUUUUUUCUCAUAACAUAUUACACGCCAUGAUAAUAAAUAUUGAUAUGCCUAUAAAUUUGAGUUUCUAUUAUUUGUAGUCAUGAUUUGGUUCACUCCAUAAGUUACAUAAAUUUAUUAUAAUAAUUCAAUUAAUUUUAGAUUAAUUUUACAUUUUUGCCCGAACUUUAGUUUUUAAUAAUUCAAUCAUCCCACCAUUAUAUUCAAUUAAAAGUGUAAUACGAUUUUGCGUCAUCCAACCAUUAUUCUUAGUGUAAUUUUUGGUAGUGAGCAUAGAAGGACAGCGAGAACAAAGAAAGAAUGUAUCCAAUAACCCACUCCCCUUAUAGUCAAUGCUUAAAAUGAAUAAGAAAAUAGAAAACAAACGUGGCAAUGCCAGCUAAUUUGUUAUUACUAUUCACCGUAUAACUAAGGACAUUACGCACCGUUUUAAUUAAAACAAACUCACCGUUUAAGACCGUUACUUCUAUGCAUCGUUUUAAUCAUAUGCGUCAGUUCGAACAAAUAGGUGAACAUGAAAGCUUUUCGCAAAGUUUAGAUGUGUGCUUAAAACUCAAACUUUGUGUUCUGUAAAAAUAUUGAUUUUGUUGUAAUUGUAGGUUGAACUUUGUGAGUCCAAUUACUUUCUUUGGCAUCGGAUAUUUCGUGGAACUUUCGUAUGAGAUAUUUACUUCAUAAAUAGAAGAUUACAAAAUUUGGAUAUUAAUAUAUUUUUCAUGAUUUAAUUUUCUUUUCCUUUUUUGGGCUAAAAUAAUUAAUAACGAAAACACGUCUUUUGCUAGCACCUAUAAAUGCCUUAAAAAUGUAAAUUAAUAUUCCACAAUAAUUAUUAAGAUGAAAAGAAUUUUAUAAUCUAAACUUACGAUUUCAUGUGAAUUUAAUGUUUAGUUAUAGUUUUAAUUACAAAGUUAAAUUGGUAUCUUUGUUAUUGCAAUAAUUAAAAAAAGAUGAGUCCAAAUGACGUUGAUUUUCUGUUUUUUAAAAGUGAAUGCAAGAUGGGACGGCUGGAAUUUUUUUUAUUAAACAGUAAGUAUGAAACAGUUAUGGUAAUUGCUUGCUCCAUCUCACUCCACUCCACUAUAUAAAAUUAUCAUUUCAUUCUUUUAUAUAUAGAAAAAAAUUAAAUAUUUUAUGAAAAUAAUCAUGUUUAAAUUUCCAAGAAUAAAAGCAAACUGAAGACUUAAAAUUUCCAUUAAUAAAACCAAAAUCAAAGAAGUAAAUUUCCCAUGAAUAAAACAAAAAAUGAAGAUCUAAAUUUUCCAUUAAUAAAGCCAAGUCAAGACUAAGUUUGUAUAAGUGUAAGAAGGGUAUAAAUGAAACUCACAAGAAAGCCACAUGAAGAAUUUUAUAACCCCAAACUACACGAUUUUAUGUCCACCUCUCACUUUUCAUAUUUUUUUGGCCAUUCGUUUUUCAAGAUUAACAUCAGCAUUCUUGUGGUCCGUUCAUCCUUUUCUAAUGAAUUUCCACCAAGAGUUUUAUUUUUCAAAAUGUUAAAUUAACUCAUGAUAUUAAUUAAAUCAAGAAAUUUUAUAAUAAUAGAGAUGAAAAAACUAAAUUUUCAAAAUCAAAACCUAAAAUGUGCAAGAAUAAAAGCAAACUGAAGACUUAAAAUCUCCAUUAAAAAAAUCAAAAUCAAAGAAGUAAAAUUUCCAUGAAUAAAACGAAAAAUGAAGACCUAAAAUUUCCAUUAAUAAAUCCAAGUCAAGACUAAGUUUGUAUAAGCGUAAGAAGGGUAUAAAUGAAACUCACAAGAAAGCCACAUUAAGAAUUUUAUAACCCCAACUACACGAUUUUAUGUCCACCUCUCACUUUUCAGUUUUUUUGGUCAUUAGUUAUUCUAAGAUUUAACAUCAACAUUUGAUUUCAAAUCAACGUUAAACCAUGUUUAAACUCUUUUUCUUAUAUAAUAAUUAUAUUAUAUUUAAAAUUGAAAAAACUAACCAGCCAAAUAUAUAUUAAUUAAUUAAUAGAAUUUUUUUUGCUCAUCGAUUAAAAUAAAUCAAGAAAGACGUUGGAACCACCAACCUCUCUUUAAGAACAACAGGAAUACAAGAACCUAUGCACAACAAGUACUAAAAUGUAUUAAGUAAAUUCAUCACCAGGCCUUAAAAAAAGAAGAUCUCGAUAUACCUGCUUUUGCCAAAGCAUCUGCCAUACCAUUACUUUGCCAGUGAAUAAUUCUGAACUGAAACUUAGCCAAUUGAGUGAUAUUAAUUAUAGAAAUGGUUCUUCUUGCAACCAUAGAUGAAACACCACUGAGACUAACAAACUUGGAGAAACUUGAUUAAAUCAAACUUAUGCAAAUUUCUUGAAUAUUUAAGUUAAGAGUUAACGUCAAAGUCAAGAGUUGAUAAGGAUUUUGUGGUCCAUUCAUAUCUUUAUUACAAUAUAUAUAUAUUCAAGAAAUUUGCAGCAAGUUGGAGUUUUGCAAUAAGGAAUUUCCACCAAGAGUUUUGGAAUAAGGAAUUUCCUCCAAGAAUUUUGCAGGAAUCAUAUCUCUAACAAAAGAAAGACCUUCAUUUGACUAAAUUUUUUAGUAUUUAUUUUAACUUCCAUUUUAUUAAAAAAAAACAGAGGUAAAAAAUAUGCCGAACAGGGUCUUUAGGUUACUUUUCUUAGAACUAUAUUAUGUUAUAGUACCGUAUAAGUUAGAGGAGCACAAGUUUAGAUUCAUCCAAUUUUUGAGGAAUUAAUUAAAUAUAUAUUAUUUUAAUAUUAUAGUAUACAGAGGCAAUGUUAGAAAAAAAUUUUGUGGAGUCGAAAUUAAAUUAUAGUUUUAAAAGCAUAUAUCUUUAUAAUUUUUAAAGAAUUAAAUCAAAUUUUUAUCAAUUUUAGGGGGUCAAUGUGCAAUUUUAUCUUUACUAAUUUAAAAUUUUAAAACAUUUAAAGGACCUAAAUAGGAAUUUUUCUAUUUUAGAGGCGUCUGAGACGCCUGUCUAGCUAUGCCCCUGAUAGUGAAUUAGUGGGAUGCCAUAGGUCCUGCUUGUAUAUAAAUAAGAAGGUUAGGCUUCUUCAGAUUAUAUACAUAUAGAAGUUAAAAAUUAACAGACAACUGAGAGAGAAGAGAAAACAGAAAGAUGAUGAUGAUGAUGAUGAUGAUGGAGUGGAAAUGGUUAUGGUUUAUUAGGAUGGCAGUAAUGUUGUUGGUGUUCGAAGGAUGCAGGUGGUGUACUAUUGAUGCUUGUUUGGAGCACGAGAGGAUUGCUCUCUUGCAUCUCAAACCUUUCUUCAAUUCUCGUGAUGAAUUGAAAAGUUGGGUUGAGGUGAAGGGUUCAGAUUGCUGUAAAUGGGAAAGAGUUGAGUGCAACACCACCACUAGGAGACUCAUACAACUUUCCCUUAAUUAUACACAAUGGGAAUUCAACGUGGAAUAUUGGUAUCUCAAUGCCUCUAUGUUUCUUCCCUUCGAGGAAUUGAGGAGUCUUUAUUUGUCAGAUAAUGCCAUAGCUGGUUGCAUUGAAAAUGAAGGUCGUGCCUUUAAUUUUCCCUCAGUUACAUCUUUUAUUAUUACACUAUUCUCACCCUUGUUAAUUUGCAAUUACUUAUAAUUUAUUUUAUUUUAUUGAAGAAAGGUCACUAAAUGUUUGUGUAUAUAUUUAAAAGAACACUCUUACAGGUUUUGGAAAGCUAUCAUCCACAUUGAGUAAUUUGGAGAUUCUUGACUUAAGUUACAAUUACUUGAAUGAUAGCAUUUUGUUAUCUUUGAGUGAGCUUUCAUCUCUCCGAUAUUUGGAUCUAUCAUACAACCGAUUUGAAAGAUCAAGUCAUCCAAGAGGUAAAUUAAGUUUAGUCUGGUGUUAGUUUUUAUUUGUAUUGGGGAGUUUGACAGUGGUUUUCCAUUGUUUUAUUCCCUCUAACUUAGUUUUUGCUUUUAUGGUUGAGAGGAAAAAGAAACAAACAAGUACUUACUCAAAUUAACUAAACAAUGGAUUAUUUUUUUUAUGUUUUGCAGUAACUAAUUCUAUGGUAUAUAAAUCAGGUUUUCAGUGGCUUUCAAGGCUCACUAAAUUGGAAACUCUUCAUCUAAGUGGGAAUUCUUUGAAGAAUAGCAUUUUUUUACAGAUGAGAAAUCUUUCAUCUUUGAAGACUUUAAGUUUGGGUGACAAUCAGUUGGGAGGAAAACUGCUUCAUAUUCAAGGUAGACUGAUUUUACACUUUUCUUGUUAACUUUAAAAUAAAUUCAGUAUGUGAUUUGAUUUUAUCAUAUCAUGAAUAUAACUGAUCAAUAUUUGAGAUUGAAUUUCAGAAUUGAAUCAUUUGGCAAACUUGAAGUACUUGGAUUUAAGUAGGAACAGAAUUGAAAGCAUCUCAAACAAAGGUAUAAGUAAUAAUUUGUGCAUGACUUUCCUGACAGACUUCAAAUGUAUUUUCUUUGUUUUUUUCCUUUUCAUAUGGUUGAGAGGAAAAAAGAUCCUUAUAAUCUUAAAGAGUUGAUAUUGAGAGUUGGUCAUGAGAGAAUGGGUCCUUAAAAUCCUUAAGACCAGGGAGUUUGUGUCCACAGUUGAGUAUUCCAUUUGAAAACUGAAAAUUAAAUAUUCUAUUGCUUUAUUUCUUUUAAAAGAAAGAUUGAGUUUGGAUCUCCGACUGCUUUAUUUUUUUCAAAGAAAGAAAUAUGUUUAUACUUUUGCGCAGAAGAUAUGAAGAAGUCUUAUUUUGUUCUCGCUUUUGUGCAAGUGAAACUUAGUUAUCUCAAAUAUAUAUAUAUAUAUAUAUAUUGUAGUUAUCAGUUCACUACACAAUAGCAUGUAAACCAGUUCCCCCUUUUCAAAUUUAUGAGUGGGAGUUGUCCAUGAUUUUCUUUGUGAUUUUCUUUUCACGUUUUAGGAUUUUCAUCUUCACUUCAAGUUUUAGAUUUACUUUUUUUCAUUUUUAUUUCAUUAACUUAAAAAAGGAAUGCUGGAUCAUAUUCAAGGUAGAUUGAUUUUACAUGUUUCUUUUUAACUUAAAAAAUCAAUAUAUGUUCAAGUUUAAGUGACAACAACAUUGAAAGCAUCUCAAACCAAGGUAUAAGUAUUUGUGCGUAGUAACUUUCUUGACUGACUAUUAUUCCAAAAGGCAAUGACAGACUUCAAAUGUAUUUUCUUUAGUGAAUUUUUAUUGCAAAAAUGGAGUAUUAUUAUUUAUUUAAGUUUUGUAGUAACUAAUUAUAUAAUAUAUAAAUGAGGUUUUCAAUGGCUCAUUAAAUUGGAAAUUAUUGAUAUAAGUUGGAAUUAUUUGAAGAAUAGCAUUCUUUAAAAUAAAUUCAUGUUGAAGGAAAAGUUGUUGCAAUAAGUCAUUUGAUUUUAUCAUAUCAUGAAUAUAUAUAACUAAUCAAUAUUUGGGAUUGAAUUUCAAAAUUGAGUAAUUUAAGUAGGAAGGUAUCUCAAACAAAGUAUUUAUAUAUUGAAUCAAUUCAUCGGAAAGCUUGUAAAUUGGCUCUUCCUUCUCAAACAAACAUUUUUCCUAACUAUUUAUAUAUUGAAUGAUGUUAACUAUACUAAUUACUUUCUUCCAAUGAUAGAUGGAACACAAUUGAGGCUAACAAACUUAGAGGAACUUGAUUUGAGUGGUAAUCUCUUUCGGAACAACACAAUUUCCUUUCCUCAAGGGCUUUCAAGCCUAAAGUCUUUGACUUUGUACAACAACCAUUUGCAAGGCUCAUUAGAUACUAAAGGUACUAAAGCUAUAACUUUGUUUUUCUUGAUAAUUCUUUCUAGAACCUUUUAAAAUUAAUUGUUUCAAUUUUGAACAUUCACAUUUCACGUUUGAGGAUUUUCAUCUUCACUUCAAGUUUUAGAUUUACUUUUUUUUUCAUUUUUAUUUCAUUAAAAUAUUAAGUAGAAAUUAAAAUUAUUAACAUAAUGAUUUUUUGAAUUGGACGUGGAUAUGUAUAGGAUUGAGCAAUUUAACAAAUUUGAAGAAACUCGAUUUAAGUGUGAAUCAGAUUGAAAGCUUUCAAUCCUUUAAAGGUAUGCAUUUAUAUUUAACCAAUUACCUAAAUUCUUACAUAUAAUUAAAUUUUAUGCCAAUUCAUUUCAGUGAUGAAAUUAUAUAAAUCUUUUGUAGAUGGUGGUAGAAAAUUGGAGUUGACCCACUUGGAAGAGCUUUAUUUAGAUUACAAUCAGUUCAAUACUAGUGUAUUUGCAUCCCUUAACAAGCUUUCAAAUUUGAAAUCUUUGAGCAUAUGGGACAAUGGAUUGAAAGGAUCAAUAGAUAUGAAAGGUAAAUAUAUUAGUUUUUUUAACUAGAAUAUAAUCAUGUUUGAAGAGAAUAUAAUGAAGUUGAUUUGUUGUUUUUGUUUUCCUAGAUUUGGAAGCAUUUAUCAACUUAAGGGAACUAGAUAUGAACUAUAAUGAAUUGAAAGAUUUGGUGAUCCACCAAGGUAUCAUUUAAUUAAACUUCCUUUUUUUUUUAAUUUAGAAAUUUAGUUUUGAUCUCAUAUAUUAUAAUAACGGUUAUUGUCAUAAAUAUUAAUAAAGUUAUAUCAUAUCAUACUUGAAAGUAAAAGUUUGGUGAAACAUUUUCUAAAUCAUCCAUUAUAAUGUGUUUGGACUUUGGUUUGAAACUAAAAUUCUUUAAAAUUUUCAUCAUUUUAAAAUAUUAAUGUUUAUAAUUAUUUUGUUUGUAUAAAUAUAUUUUUUAAAAUAAUUUAUUGAAUUUUUAUGAGAUAAAAAAUAAUUAUAACAAUAAAAAAUGAUAUUAUAAAUAAAUAAAAACAUAUAUUUAUGAGAAAAUAUGUAAUAUAACUAUAUUUUAAUUUCAUAUAUUUUUAAUAGUAUAAAACAUAAAAAUACAUAUUAGCGUUAAAUAAAUGGCAUUUUUUGGCAAAAAUAAAUAAAUGUCAAUUUUGAAUAAUUUAAAAAAAAUCUUUAAUUUUGUGAAAUUUAAACAUACAUUGAGAGGUGCUUAAACUUCCAUUGCAAUCUUUUUAUAAAUUUCAAAGUGCAUAUGUUUUUAACUUUUUGGUUUAAAAAAAUAUGAUAGGUCUACGUACUCUUUACUAAUUUGUAAUUUAAUUCUUAUACUUUUAUUUUCAAGAAUUUAAUCCCUGUUUUUUUAUAAAAAAAUCAAAAUCCUAGUUCAAUUGUUAAAAUUGUUAAAAUUUUAAAAUAGUUUGUUGGUGUGACAUUUUGAAAUAAAAAAAAACUUAGUAGUAAUGUAACUAAAAAAUGACGUAAUGAACAUGGAUUUAAUAAAAUAAUUUUAACAAUAUUAAUAAAAUAAUUUUGAAUUUUGAAUUUUAACUUAACUCUAUUUUUGGGCCAAGAUUUAAUGCUUUAAAAUUUUCAUUUAAUCCGCUGAGUUUACUUAUAAUUCUUUUGAGUUUUAUUUAUUGGUGAGUAAAAUACCUAUUUGAUUUUUUUAUAUACUAUUGGCAUCUUUAAAGGUAAUAUAAUAAUUUUAGUGUAGACGUGUUUUAUUUUAUAAAUAUUAUUUAUAGUGUAGACAUGUGAAUUUUGAAUAAUUUAAAAAUAUCUUCAAUUUUAUGAAAUUUAAACAUACAUUUAGUGUAGACAUGUUUUAUUUUAUAAAUAUUAUUUAUAGUGUUGUUGAUUGGAGUUUGAAAAUUAUACAACUUAGCUAUAUCAGUUAAUUACUUAUAUUAAAAAAUAAUAUAAGAAAAUACUAAAAAGAAAAAAAAUAGUAUAAUUAAUAAAAUGGAUGAAGAGUUAUAUUAAAGUUUCAACAUCUUCUCUCUAUCAAAAUUUAUCUCGGAUAAAUCAUGAAUAAUCUAACUCAUAAAAAAAUAUAUAUAUAUUUAUAUACUUCAUUUCAUUCACAGAAAAUAAAGCAUUCCACUUAAUAGAGGCUUUCUAUAAUGCCGUUAUCUAAUACCUCUUGACAUUGCUUAGAUUCAAAUGUGUCGAGCAGUUUGGAGGAAAUAUAUCUUGACUAUUCUACUCUCAACACCAACAUUUUGCAAAGCAUUGGAGUAUUCGCUUCUCUUAAAAUAUUGUCUUUAUCUAAUUGUGGACUUAUUGGUCCCUUACCUAAUCAAGGUAAACAAUUUUAUGGCUCAAUUUGAUUUCUUUAUGAACUUUCUGUAAUAUAUUAUCUCCUAUUCUGUUUUAUAAAGCAAAAUUUAAUUGAAACUUCUUCCAUGAAUUUAUUUAUAAAAUUUUCAGGAUGGUGUGAUCUAAGGAACCUUGAAGUGUUGGAUGUGAGUAGAAAUGCACUUGAGGGGAUGCUUCCUCAUUGUUUUAGUAACUUGACAUCUCUUCGUGAGUUAGAUAUUUCAAGAAACCAUUUUCAAAUUCCGCUGUCAUUUGCACCAUUUGCAAACCUUUCAAACCUCAAAGCCCUUUUGAUUAAUGAAAACAAGAUGGUAAUGGAACCUUCCUUUUAUACCUCAAUCCCAAAGUUCCAAUUGGAAGUCAUCAGUUUGUCAAAGUGCAUAACAUCUCAACAACUCAGUCUUAAACUUUGUACCUUCCUUUACUACCAAUAUGACUUGAGAUAUGUGGAUCUUUCGCAUAACAAUCUCAGUGGAACUGUACCAACUUGGUUGCUAGAAAACAACACAAAGUUAGAAGAUCUCAUCUUGAAGGGUAAUUCAUUUACAGGUCCUCUCUCACUUUCGUCGGCUCUUAUUUCUAAUGUAUCUACAAUUGACAUAUCUGAAAACAAAUUACAAGGUCAAAUUCCAACUGGUAUAUGUUCAACUUUUCCACAUUUGAGGCAGUUAUUCUUAUCCAAGAAUGCUUUUGAAGGUAAUAUCCCACUUUGUUUAAGUGGCAUGAAGGACUUAUCAUUUUUAGAUCUAUCAGACAAUCAUUUGUAUGGAAAAGUACCAGAAGAGUUGAUCACGAAAGGCUUACUAAUCAUUUUGAGACUAUCAAAUAACAACCUCAGUGGAAAUGUAGUUCCUGUGAUUCUCAGCGCAAAUGGGGUGCAGCAUUUAUAUUUGGAUGGAAAUAAUUUUUCAGGAGAGAUGACAAAUGUUGAUGUGUCUACUUUUGAGUUUCCAAAUUCACUAAGCGAAAUUGAUCUCAGUAACAACACUUUGCAUGGAAAGCUCCCAAGAUGGAUAGGGAAUGCAUCAUUUUUGGGGAGAUUAGAUUUGUCCAACAAUGGUUUUGAAGGUUCUAUUCCAAUGGAAUUUUGCAAGUUGAAUAGGUUGGAAUUUUUGGAUCUUUCUCAAAAUAAUUUAUCUGGCUCUAUACCGUCAUGUUUUAAUCCACCAUACAUACAGCAUGUCCACCUCCACGGGAAUAGACUGAGAGGCCCACUAUCACUUGCUUUUUAUAAUAGCUCUUCAAUAGUGACUUUAGAUCUUGGAGGAAACAAUUUGACGGGUAGUAUUCCAAAAUGGAUUUACACGCUUUCUUCUUUGAGUUUUUUUCUCUUGAAAGAUAAUCAUUUUCAUGGUAAAGUUCCUAUUGAGUUAUGCAAGUUGCAUUCUUUAAGCAUCAUAGAUCUUUCUCAAAAUAUGUUUUCUGGUCCUAUACCUUCUUGUUUGGGAAAUUUAUCUCUUCCAAUGCAAAGGAAGAAGAUUCUAGAACCUGGUUUCUAUGGGCCACCUAUAGAAGAGGAUGAAACAACACGCAGUACGAAACUAAAUUUGGGAAUGUAUUCUUACUAUCCUAAUAGCUACUUCGAAGAAGUAAUAGAGUUCACAACAAAGAGUGGGUUCUAUUCAUACAAGGGCUACAUCCUUUCAUAUAUGAAUGGGAUUGAUUUAUCUUGCAACAACUUAACUGGUCAUAUCCCACCAGAAUUAGGGAACUUGAGUGAAAUCCAUUCUUUAAACCUUUCACACAAUAAGUUGACCGGAGUUAUACCCUCGUCACUCUCAAAACUACAUCAAAUUGAGAGUUUGGACCUUUCUUACAACAACUUAAGUGGUGAAAUCCCCAAUCAAUUGGUAGAGUUAAACUCUUUGGAGGUUUUCAGCGUGGCAUUUAACAACUUGUCAGGUAGUAUUCCCGAACCAAAAGCUCAAUUUGGGACCUUUAUUGAAAAUAGUUAUCAGGGAAAUCCGUUUCUUUGUGGAGUUAUAUUGCAUAAAAGUUGUUCCAAAACCGAUUCACCAUCAACGAUAUCAAUUGUAUCAGAAGAUAAAGGAGAAGAUGGUUUGAUAGAUACUUAU